CCUACGGGUGGCUGCAGUGGGGAAUAUUGGGCAAUGGGCGAAAGCCUGACCCAGCGACGCCGCGUGGGUGAUGAAGGCCUUCGGGUUGUAAAGCCCUGUCAUGCGGAAAGAACAGUCCCGUAACGAAUAAUUGCGGGAUUUGACGGUACCGCAGGAGGAAGCACCGGCUAACUCCGUGCCAGCAGCCGCGGUAAUACGGAGGGUGCAAGCGUUGUUCGGAAUUAUUGGGCGUAAAGGGCGCGUAGGCGGUAAUGAAAGUCAGAUGUGAAAUACUUCGGCUCAACUGAAGAACUGCAUCUGAAACUUCAUAACUAGAGUACGGAAGAGGGAAAUGGAAUUCCCGGUGUAGAGGUGAAAUUCGUAGAUAUCGGGAGGAACACCAGUGGCGAAGGCGAUUUCCUGGUCUGGUACUGACGCUGAGGCGCGAAAGUGUGGGGAGCAAACAGGAUUAGAUACCCCAGUAGUC
RNAcentral lists this ribosomal RNA (466 nucleotides) under uncultured Syntrophorhabdus sp. RNAcentral's name for it is "bacterial SSU rRNA". It matches the Rfam family "Bacterial small subunit ribosomal RNA", at positions 338 to 795 of the family's 1533-position model. Lineage: Bacteria; Pseudomonadati; Thermodesulfobacteriota; Syntrophorhabdia; Syntrophorhabdales; Syntrophorhabdaceae. The record is from RNAcentral.